UUUUAAAAAGCAGAGACAAGAAAAAGCAUCAAGAAGAGUACAUAUCACAAAUCUAUUUAUUUAAAAAAAAUUAUCAUGAUUUAUUAUAUUAACUGCUAUAAAAACAAACCAAAAAAAAAAAAAGACAAUAUGGAAGCCUUCCUGGGACAAGUUCGGCGGUGUGCAUCAAUGCUACUUCCCGUGGUGUAAAGUUGGGAACAUUUGGCACGAAGCAUUAUUAUUAUUAUUAGUAUUAUUUUUAUACAGCCGCUUGCUGAGGAUCGCAAAACUGAUCCUGAAAACCCCAGACAGCAGAAAGAAGCACACACACCUUCCUGGAAAGAAAAGUCACCAUCAAUCAGGCCAAAACACCAACUGUGUCCAGCAUUCCUCCCAACUCUCAUUCCCAAGCGGAGGACGUGUUAGGAACUGAUUAUCCAGGCUCCGUUUGGUUUUCCAAAAAUCGACGUUCUGCUCCUGGGUUUUGGAUCUGGGUCAAAUUCGGCCCUACAAAUGACAACGUUUGACAGAAUAUUCCUACAGAGUUGUGGUUGGAGUAAAACUUCUUGUCUCAGAAGAACAACAAAAAAAAUUCUUAAUCCAACGGACAACAGGUAAAUAAAGUAAUCAUCUCCUCAUCUUGGAGUGUUAUAGCUCUGACUGAGAGUGCAUCGUUCUCUGAGCUGUAACCUGAUUAUUGCUCUUAAAUAUUUGAUUAAAAUUCACUUUAAAAACAUCUCUUUAUACACCAACAGUUUCCUCUUAGUUCAAAAAGAGGCUGGUUGCCUCCUGGUGGGUCUGGACUGAAACUCUGUCACGUUAUGUUGUUGCUGGAGCUGUGAGAGUGUGUUCACACACACCACUCAACAUGAUGUGCCAAUCCCCACAAGUUCAUUCAACUGCUAAUGAAAAAAACAAACAAAAACAGAAAACAGACUCAUCAGGUUUUGUUGCAUAAACUGAUUCAACCAACUUGCGAAUACAUUUUUGCCCCUCAUUUGCUCUUCUCUCAUAAAAUUAAGCACAAAAAGAAACAUUCAGAGAAAGGAACCACUCCACGCCAACUCAACUAGCCUUUAAAGUUUAUGCUUCCAAUUUUCUCGAGAAAACAGAAAGUAAAAAGGCUUCCAGACCUCGCAGAAACCUUGCAGUUAUUCAAGUAAACUUUGCACUGAACAGUUCAAGGUAAUAAAUUUAUUCUAUACGUUUAAUCAUUUUAUAUAAAUUUGGAAAGUACAAAAAAAAUCCUUUCACAAAUUUCCUAAAUAUUACUAUAUUUAGGAAAUUUAUAUAGUGUGGUUUCCCCCCCCCCCCCAAGACUAAGCUAACUUCUCUACUUAUUAGUUUAUUAAAAGUUGAAAUUUGCUGCCUAAUUCUGUCAUUAAGUCAAUUUCUUUAUACGUUUUACUUCCAAUGCCAAUUUGUAUUUUGACAGACUUGUAAAAUUAACAGCAAUAUGUUAUAUUUGGUUGUUUCUCCAAGUAAACACAUCCUAAUUAGUCUUAAGCUAUUACAUUAGAUAUUUAGCUAUAAUUAAGCAUAAUUUCCUUUCCUUACAAAUUAUUGUUAGGGUUUAUGGAUGUUCAGCACAAACUUACACCAAGUCCACAUCAAAAAUGAUCAAUUUAAUACAGACAUUUCUUAGGUUUUAUACUACAUGAAUAAUCUUUAGAAAUUAUGCCAAAUUUUAUGAUUCUACUUUUAAAAUGUUUAUCUGAAAGAAAAUCUGCAACAUAAAUAUCAAUGACAUGGCUAGCUUGGUAUAGAGCAAACCAUGAGAAGAAGCUAAACAUAUUAAAUAAUUUAAGGAAAUAUUAGAGGUUACAUUUUCCAAAUGUUUUCUGGUUAGCAUUUCAGCUAACAACCAUCAGUGAAGAAUUUAACAAAACUGAAUAUAUGUAUGCGAUUUUGGACAGAUGUAUAUUUUGUAUAUACUGUAUAUAACAGGAUAUUUUGGACAGGAUAUAACAUGGCCUUACACAUCCUAGCUUGAAGUAGGAUACAUCCUAGCUUGACGCAGGUUAUAUCCUAGCUUGAAGCAGGUUAUAGCCUAGCUUGACGCAGGUUAUAGCCUAGCCUGAAGCAGGUUAUAGCCUAGCUUGACGCAGGUUAUAGCCUGGCUUGAAGCAGGUUAUAGCCUAGCUUGACGCAAGUUAUAGCCUAGCUUGAAGCAGGUUAUAGCCUAGCUUGACGCAGGUUAUAGCCUAGCUUGACGCAGGUUAUAGCCUAGCUUGAAGCAGGUUAUAGCCUGGCUUGAAGCAGGUUAUAGCCUAGCUUAACACAGGUUAUAGCCUAGCUUGACGCAGGUUAUAGCCUGGCUUGAAGCAGGUUAUAGCCUAGCUUGACGCAGGUUAUAGCCUAGCUUGACGCAGGUUAUAGCCUAGCUUGAAGUGGGAAAGAACCCAUCCUGAUCCACAGCAUGAAGUGGUAUCUGUCCUUCAACUCUGCAGAAAAAAAAACUUUUUUGUGGGGCCCAUUUGGAGAGGCCUCUGAAUUUGGAUAUUGUUGUGACAUAAUCAACCUUCAAAUGUAGGCCCUGAAUUUUGACAGACCCACAGGCAACAAACAGCUUGAAGUAGGAUGAAGCCUAGCUUAAACAGCGAUAAAGCCUAGUUUGAGUUGAACCAUAGACCAUCUUAAAAGUUGCAUAAAAUCCAGCUUGAAGUGGGAUAGAACCUAGCAUAAUUUCAUUAGGCUAACUACUAGUUGAGGUAAAAAGUUAUAGUUUUGGAAAGCAAAACUUUCACAGUUUCAUAUGUUACAAAAAUGAUAAAAAAUUGGGGUUCAUAUAGUGGCCAAAAGCUGUUUUAUAGUCACUUAACAAAAAUAGGUUGUCCAUAUGAUUUAUGUUAGCAAGCAAAUUUAGCCGUCUUCCUGCUUUUCGUCUUUAUGCUAAACAAAUCCAAGCUAAGAACAUAAAAAAAAAAUUAAAACAUGUGAGACUCAUGGACACGCAAAAUUAUGAACUAUGAUUAAUGCAAAUAAUUAAAAAAAAGCAACUGAGUUUCUUGUAUCAUAAUGAAUUAGCAUCAUGUGCUCACGCUGGUUAGCAUUUUCAGCAGCCAGUUUUUAAAAUUCGAAAGCAGCAGGCUUUUAGUGGGGAAGGAGAAAGAUUUAUGUUGCUCAUGACAAACAUCAUACUGUUACUAAACAGUACAUGCAACCCUUUGUCGCACAGCAUUCACACACUGUACAAAACACACACAAGACUCAGGCAAAAAUAACAUCUGGAUACAUUUCUGAAUACUUAUAAAAGAGGAGUAUUUUCCGCUGCCGCCAGUAGCGACUGUUCAAGUGUCGGUCGGGUAAUCUGAACUAAGCACACUCCACAAAUAUUGGCACUGUGUACAGUAUAUCUCACACACAAACACACCGACUGCAUAUCUUUUUGUAAAGCUUAAAAAUGUCUCUUUAAUGUCACUUUAAAAUCUCUCAAUUUUCAAAAGAUGACGAAGAAAAGAAAAAAAAAAAAAGAAAGUCCUGACAAUAAAGUUAGUUAUUUUCCUUUUUUGUUAAAAUAGGAUCACUCUGGGAUGGUAGUGCAACGCCUCUCAUUUGGAAACAUGAAGCACAUUUUUUAUUUUCAUGUUUACUCCACAAACUCCUCUAUGGCAGAAGGAAGGCUCAGGCUUCAAGAUGAAG
Xiphophorus couchianus (Monterrey platyfish) is the source of this 3621-nucleotide long non-coding RNA. RefSeq lists it as uncharacterized. The record is from RefSeq and is a predicted model, not a curated record. The transcript has 3 exons. NCBI's taxonomy places the organism in Eukaryota, Metazoa, Chordata, Actinopteri, Cyprinodontiformes, Poeciliidae.